GGGCCGGUGGUCUAGAGGCUAUGACGCCGCCCUCACACGGCGGAGGUCGUGGGUUCGAGUCCCACCCGGCCCACCA
RNAcentral lists this transfer RNA (76 nucleotides) under Candidatus Korarchaeota archaeon NZ13-K. RNAcentral's name for it is "tRNA-Val". It matches the Rfam family "tRNA". Rfam says of the family: Transfer RNA (tRNA) molecules are approximately 80 nucleotides in length. Their secondary structure includes four short double-helical elements and three loops (D, anti-codon, and T loops). The record is from RNAcentral. Lineage: Archaea; Thermoproteati; Thermoproteota.